RNAcentral lists this non-coding RNA (210 nucleotides) under Clostridium saccharobutylicum DSM 13864. Its description in RNAcentral is "raiA RNA". It matches the Rfam family "raiA RNA". Lineage: Bacteria; Bacillati; Bacillota; Clostridia; Eubacteriales; Clostridiaceae. The record is from Rfam by way of RNAcentral.
UAAAGCUAGGUUUGUGGUUGAAAGUCGAAGCCAGUCGCAGGCAAAACGAUCCACGUAAUUUAGGCAAAAUGUCUAAGGAGCAUGGUGCGGUAUAGAAGUAAGUCCUGCCAGCAUGUAAAGGUUGAGAGAGUUAGUAGUGAGGGAUUAAUUUCUAUUAGCGAAAAUUCCAGCAGGCGAGUGUGGGGUCAAAGACCAGGUCAACUAGCUUUA